UUUCAUUAGACUCAAUAAUUUCUUCCAACUUUCAGGUAUUUCCCAUCUCUCCCCUUUUAGUUCUUCUAUUUUUCUCUCUUCCAUAAAAAUAUGUUAAUAUCACAAUAAUUUUUGUUUUUGUUGUGUUGUUUAUUCAAACUCUAUAUUUGUGCAGAUUUUGCUACUUAAACCGGCAUUGCCAUGGGGUGCAUCAUUUUCAGAUGAAGCACAACUUUUAUCUAACUUUCAAACAUGCUACUACAACAAAUACUACCCAUCUUCCCUUGGAAUUUGUUGAGUUACAACCAAUAAUUUAUUCAUUUAAACCAACCCGUCUGCCACUGUCAAUAUAAACCAACCUCUUAGGGUUUUGUAACGUGUUGCCGAACAAGAAGAAGAAGAAAGCCGUCAUGGGGAGAAGUAAGCACUUCCAUCAAACUAUUCUUAAUUUCAUUGUUUCGUCGUUUCUCCACGA
RNAcentral lists this long non-coding RNA (454 nucleotides) under Lupinus angustifolius (narrow-leaved blue lupine). Its description in RNAcentral is "long non-coding RNA (LANG_LNC000886)". Lineage: Eukaryota; Viridiplantae; Streptophyta; Magnoliopsida; Fabales; Fabaceae. The record is from RNAcentral.